CUCGAUGUAGUCAAGUGGUCGAAGGCAUCUGCCUGCAAAGCAGACGGCGACAGCCCGCGCCCGUUCGCUCUGGGCGGCGCGAGCCGACCAGGACGUCGCUUGCGACGGGCCGAAGGCCGAGGGCAAAGCCCGAGCAAUCGGGCCGUCGAGUCCA
This 154-nucleotide transfer RNA is filed under the name Piscinibacter sp. HJYY11. RNAcentral describes it as "tRNA-Cys". Lineage: Bacteria; Pseudomonadati; Pseudomonadota; Betaproteobacteria; Burkholderiales; Sphaerotilaceae. The record is from RNAcentral.